AUGGCGGAGCUUGGGCUGCGUGAGGAUGAUAUAGAUGAUGUCGUGGUCGAUGAGGGAUCUAUUCCUCAGGAUGAGGCUAGGUGGAUGGCGGUGUCUAGGGUUCAUAUCGAUAAACCCUACAGUCAAGGCUGGUUCUUUAGAAACAUGCGAGCAACUUGGGAUCUUGCGCAGGAAGUGAACUUCAAACCCUUGGAGGAGAAUUUGUAUACAAUUCAGUUUAGUUGCCUGGGCGACUGGGAAAGAGUGAUGCAGGAAGGGACGUAG
This 264-nucleotide ribosomal RNA is filed under the name Triticum aestivum (bread wheat). Its description in RNAcentral is "partial small subunit ribosomal RNA". The record is from RNAcentral. Lineage: Eukaryota; Viridiplantae; Streptophyta; Magnoliopsida; Poales; Poaceae.